UACAGAGGGUGCAAGCGUUAAUCGGAAUUACUGGGCGUAGAGCGCGCGUAGGUGGUUUGUUAAGUUGGAUGUGAAAUCCCCGGGCUCAACCUGGGAACUGCAUUCAAAACUGACAAGCUAGAGUAUGGUAGAGGGUGGUGGAAUUUCCUGUGUAGCGGUGAAAUGCGUAGAUAUAGGAAGGAACACCAGUGGCGAAGGCGACCACCUGGACUGAUACUGACACUGAGGUGCGAAAGCGUGGGGAGCAAACAGG
RNAcentral lists this ribosomal RNA (253 nucleotides) under uncultured bacterium. Its description in RNAcentral is "partial 16S ribosomal RNA". It matches the Rfam family "Bacterial small subunit ribosomal RNA", at positions 524 to 776 of the family's 1533-position model. The record is from RNAcentral.